UUAAUCCCCCGUCGUAACAAUUUUUCCGUAGGUGAACCUGCGGAAGGAUCAUUAUUGUAUAACCGAGGUGCGAGGGCUGUCGCUGACCCGAAAGGUCGUGCACGCCCGUGUGCCCUCACACACAUCCAUCUCACCCCUAUGUGCACCACCGCGUGGGUCCCCCUUUGGCUUGUUCGGAGGGGGGCUUACGUUUUCACACAAACUUUGUAUGCAGUGUAGAAUGUAUUUUUUAUUUUUGCGAUCACGCAAUCAAUACAACUUUCAACAACGGAUCUCUUGGCUCUC
Molecule: unclassified non-coding RNA, 285 nt
Filed under: plant metagenome
Description: partial contains small subunit ribosomal RNA, internal transcribed spacer 1, and 5.8S ribosomal RNA
Source: RNAcentral